Molecule: ribosomal RNA, 253 nt
Filed under: uncultured bacterium
Lineage: Bacteria
Description: partial 16S ribosomal RNA
Rfam family: Bacterial small subunit ribosomal RNA
Source: RNAcentral
UACAGAGGGGGCGAGCGUUGUUCGGAAUUACUGGGCGUAAAGGGCGCGUAGGCGGCCCGCUAAGUCGAACGUGAAAUCCCCAGGCUCAACCUGGGAACUGCGUCCGAUACUGGCAGGCUUGAAUCCGGGAGAGGGAUGUGGAAUUCCAGGUGUAGCGGUGAAAUGCGUAGAUAUCUGGAGGAACACCGGUGGCGAAAGCGCCUUGCUGGGUCUGCACUGACACUGAGGGACGAAAGCUAGGGGAGCGAAAGGG